This 251-nucleotide ribosomal RNA is filed under the name uncultured prokaryote. RNAcentral's name for it is "partial 16S rRNA". It matches the Rfam family "Bacterial small subunit ribosomal RNA", at positions 525 to 775 of the family's 1533-position model. The record is from RNAcentral.
ACGGGGGGUGCAAGCGUUGUUCGGAAUUAUUGGGCGUAAAGAGCGUGUAGGCGGCCGGAUAUGUCAGAUGUGAAAUCCCUGGGCUUAACCCAGGAAGUGCAUUUGAAACUGUCCGGCUAGAGUAGGGGAGAGGGGGGUGGAAUUCCUGGUGUAGCGGUGAAAUGCGUAGAGAUCGGGAGGAAGACGGGUGGCGAAGGCGGCCUCAUGGACCAAGACUGACGCUGAGGUGCGAAAGCGUGGGGAGCAAACAG